This is a long non-coding RNA of Octodon degus (degu), 1406 nucleotides long. RefSeq lists it as uncharacterized. The record is from RefSeq and is a predicted model, not a curated record. The transcript is spliced from 4 exons. Lineage: Eukaryota; Metazoa; Chordata; Mammalia; Rodentia; Octodontidae.
AGGUUCAGGUUUUCGGAUAUCUCUGUGUGGACUAUUUGGGCGCUGUGUGCUUUAGAACACUUUCGUGAAGAGCCGGGGCUUCAGCAGGAGCGGCCAUGUGGCGCGGACGUGAGGCCUCCGGCUCCUGGCGGCUGAGCUUGGCGUUCCCCCGCCGGAGGGUGGGAGCGCCUGGGGGCCGAGUCCCCCAGCCCGCCUCAGGGGCCGCGGGGUGCCCUCUUCUCCCGACCGAGCCGCGUCUGCUGCCCCCGUCUCGCGCCUCCGCCAUCUUGGCUCUUUUGGGGCGAGGGUGAGGUCAGCGGGGGCGUGCUUGUGAGUUUUCCUGAGCAUUUCCAUCAUUGCUAGUCACAGGUCCUCAGAUCUCUAGGGAACCGCACUUGAUUCCCCCCCCCCCGUUUGUGGGAAGCUGGUUUUGUGCAAGGUGGGACGGAGCCGGCCCCUUGUGGGUGUUUGCUUGUGGGACAGAAAAUAAUACAUAAAGCUACCAAGGAAGAAGAGAGUCUCCAAGUGAAUUUCGGGAUUGUUUCUGCAAACCAGGUAUUCCUAAACACCGAGGGGCUCUUGCCAUCGUCCCAUCAGCUGGUAUCAAGUCACCAAGUCCCACCUCCAGCUCCUGCAACAUCCUCUGGGCAGGUAAUGACCAUGGCCAAGCAAGCAGUGGUACCACACUGAGCUCAUGGUCGCCUGGAUCCUGCGGUGUACAGUCGGGGCAGACCUGUCCUUGCACUCAACUCUAGAGAACUGACACUACAGGGCGACCUGGCCCACGAUGCCAUCUGCAGCUGCUGAAGGCCUGGCACUCGCAGUCCCUUCUGCAUGCACAUCCAUGACAGCGACCUGCCCUUCUGGCCCCUGAGCAUGCUCUGCUGUAUUUGCAGUGGGCCGCCUCACCUGGUCCUGCAGUGCCACCUGCAAGGGAGCCAGCUGGGCCGCACUGAACUCAUGCUGGGCCCAGCCCCACACACAAGGACAUCAUGGGUGGGCUGCUGUCCCACAGCGUGCCCCAGGAGGGGGUGGACGAGCAGCGAUCACACUCCUCAUCAAGCUGUACAGAGGGGCGCAGGAGGAACCAUCUGCAGGACUGCGGCAUGCCAAGGCCUGAGUUCAGAGGUGGGCAGGAGCCUGGGCUGCAGGAGCAACGGCAGGGGCCUGGCCGAUCACCAUCCUGUGUCCCCAUCCCUGGCCAGAGCCCAUGAGGAAGCUACAGAAAGAGCUGGCCUGUGUCCGUGGUCUGAAGCCCAGAGCGCCAGAGGGAAGGGAAACCCACUACCACCGCUGGGGUCACUGUAAAAGGGUUUUUUUAAUGCAUUAUUUUUACUUAAGAUUUUAGGCAUACGUGACACUGGUUUUAGCAGUCAUGUCUGCCUCUUCAAUACCAUUCCACUCGUGGCCCUGUCUGGCGUUUUGUC